RNAcentral lists this ribosomal RNA (301 nucleotides) under uncultured bacterium. Its description in RNAcentral is "partial 16S ribosomal RNA". It matches the Rfam family "Bacterial small subunit ribosomal RNA", at positions 509 to 807 of the family's 1533-position model. The record is from RNAcentral.
CAGUCGCCGCGGUAAAACAGAGGGUGCGAGCGUUAAUCGGAUUUACUGGGCGUAAAGCGUGCGUAGGUGGUGGUUUAAGUCCGUUGUGAAAGCCCUGGGCUCAACCUGGGAAUUGCAGUGGAUACUGGGUCACUAGAGUGUGGUAGAGGAUAGUGGAAUUUCCGGUGUAGCAGUGAAAUGCGUAGAGAUCGGAAGGAACAUCUGUGGCGAAGGCGACUAUCUGGGCCAACACUGACACUGAGGCACGAAAGCGUGGGGAGCAAACAGGAUUAGAUACCCCCGUAGUCCCUGUCUCUUAUAC